This 435-nucleotide ribosomal RNA is filed under the name Burkholderia sp. Mb354PR. RNAcentral describes it as "bacterial SSU rRNA". It matches the Rfam family "Bacterial small subunit ribosomal RNA", at positions 154 to 584 of the family's 1533-position model. Lineage: Bacteria; Pseudomonadati; Pseudomonadota; Betaproteobacteria; Burkholderiales; Burkholderiaceae. The record is from RNAcentral. RNAcentral also lists the same sequence under 1 other name.
AAAGCCGGAUUAAUACCGCAUACGAUCUACGGAUGAAAGCGGGGGAUCGCAAGACCUCGCGCUAUAGGGGCGGCCGAUGGCGGAUUAGCUAGUUGGUGGGGUAAAGGCCCACCAAGGCGACGAUCCGUAGCUGGUCUGAGAGGACGACCAGCCACACUGGGACUGAGACACGGCCCAUACUCCUACGGGAGGCAGCAGUGGGGAAUUUUGGACAAUGGGCGCAAGCCUGAUCCAGCAAUGCCGCGUGUGUGAAGAAGGCCUUCGGGUUGUAAAGCACUUUUGUCCGGAAAGAAAUCCUCUGGGUUAAUACCCCGGGGGGAUGACGGUACCGGAAGAAUAAGCACCGGCUAACUACGUGCCAGCAGCCGCGGUAAUACGUAGGGUGCGAGCGUUAAUCGGAAUUACUGGGCGUAAAGCGUGCGCAGGCGGUGAUGU